AUCCUAGUAGCUCAGAUGGUUGGAGUUUCAGCCUCCAACUCUAAGGUACCGGGUUCGAAUCCCGACAAUGACA
RNAcentral lists this transfer RNA (73 nucleotides) under Sphenostylis stenocarpa. Its description in RNAcentral is "tRNA gene-AYBTSS11_LOCUS22324". Lineage: Eukaryota; Viridiplantae; Streptophyta; Magnoliopsida; Fabales; Fabaceae. The record is from RNAcentral.